RNAcentral lists this long non-coding RNA (8656 nucleotides) under Xyrichtys novacula (pearly razorfish). Lineage: Eukaryota; Metazoa; Chordata; Actinopteri; Labriformes; Labridae. The record is from RNAcentral.
CUGCUGAUCUACUGAGGUACUAAAAAAAAGAUUGAUCCUUACUCCAGGUCAAACCGUCUCUCUCUCUUUGGUCAUUAUGUAUCUAUUUAUUGUUUAAGUCCAAGAAAUACUCAUGGACAGACGCUCAGUUCACUGUUCUCUCAGUUGCAUCUCCAUCCUCAAUGGUUUUAAGUUUAUCAUUGCGAAGAAAUAUGUCAUUAAAUUUGCCUCCUAAAGUAUCUCCAAACUAGGAAAAAAACGAGGAUUUGGAUGCAUGGCAAACCAAAAAAUCCUGCAAAAUUAUGUCACCCUAGUAGCUUGUUGUGAACCUGUUUUUUAAUCAUUAUUUUUAAUUAUUAUUUUUUAAAUUAAUGAUGUACUUAAACUUGUCAUACUCUUGUCUUCAUCAUUUAAAUAAAUCAAAUCAACACUGCUCAAAACAAUAGUCUGUGCUGCUUUAUGGUGACAUUUUUCUGUCAAGAGUUCAACGUGUUUUAUUUCUUGUAUUGCAAAAAAAUGUGCUAUUUUCAAAAUGAAGCAUAUGCUAAUUCCCUUAGAUUAAAGAUUAAAUCUUAAAGCAUUAAUUUUAAAAGUGUCUCACCAUCUUACAGAGGACUGCUACAGCUAGUGAGCCUGCAGCUGCUGUUCCUCUUCAUCAUAAAGAACCAAUACUGCCUCAUAUAAACCACUUACACAGUUUUACUUUAGGCUUAUUUUUAGCCUGAUGUCAAUAUUUCAGACCCCUAAAGAGACAGUCUUAGCUCAUACAGAUGGAUUGCAACAGGCUUAACAGAUAUUAGAGAUGUAAAUUAUUGGAAUUUUGCAAUUAUUCAAUAUGCAAAUAUUUUCAAACUCAUUUUACAGAUAUCAAUCUAAGUGCAACAUUAGCCUGUGGAUACCUGCUUCCUCCCCCAUGCUCAGAGGCUGGUUAUUGAGAUCAGAUAAUUCAUUGAUUUUCUUGUGAGGCUCCUUUAUCCUUGUGUGGUUGUUAAGACUAUUUCUUAGCUAAAUUACUAUAAUAGAUGCUGCCAAGUUUUUGGUUGCUCUGAUACUUCUCUAUUUUUUCUUUGCAAAAUCUUGGUACUUCAAAAAUAACAAUGUGUGGUUUUGCUCCUCCUCUCAUACUUAACAAACCCUGCAAAUGGCUUUUUUUGCUGUCUGUUUUCAACACUUUGAAGGCUGUCAUUUGAUGCACAUGAUCAGUGCAUUGUCUUACUCAUCUCCAAUAAACACCAGCAGAGAUUUUCAUAUCUGUCAUACAGGUGUUGUGCCAAUGAUAUUAUGCAACGCUAAUAGGGAGAGCUUUGGGAAUUACAACAAAAAGUUAAACCAUAAUUGAGAAAAUAGUUCAAGCUCCCAAAUCCCUUAAAACACUGCAAAACAAAGGAUCCUCUUGCUGCUCAUUUUUACCAAUCUUUUAUAAUAAUUGUGUAUUCUGCUCUAUGAAAAUCUAAUUUUGCAAUAAACCCUUCACUUGAUACAGAUUCAUCCAAUUAUUUAUCAAUAAAUGAAGCAGCAUUGGAUAUUUUAUAGAGAAAAUGUGAAGUGAGGGCUUCAUCUGCCCAUGUCAUUAGAUCUGGCUGUGAGGAUUGCCUGCAGACUGGAAAGUUGCAUCUCUGUAGAGAGCUCUUGGCAUUACCGAGGGGAGAGAUUAACCCCGUCCUCUGCUGUUUGAUGUGGUUGGCUGAUGUAAAGCUGCACCGUCAACUGCGCAGAGAUACACCAACUGAUCUCCAUGCAAAUGCUAAGAGUUGUGUGCGAGGCAUGCAGAGAUGUUACACGAAGCAUGCAUUCUGCUAGUCUUCUUCGUAACAGCUUCCAGCCAAGGAUGAUGUCACUUCUUGCCCUGCAGAGGAGUAAUCAGUCUCCUGCAUGCCUGAAGGGCCCCUAAGGAGUUAUCAGUCUUUGAUAGUUGUCUCUAUUGCAGCUGAUUCAAUCUGUAACACCACUUUGGGCCCCGUGUGAGCAUAUAACAAACAUACUUAAUCAUUUCUGUCGUUAGAAGUCCGGAAAAUCCUCUGUGAGCCUACCCGGUUAUGUUCUAGCUGCUGAGUAUUAAUAUCAGUGUAGACAAAGUGCUACCCUGUGCAAGAGACUUGAUUACAUACAAACAUAUGACAAGGAGAGACGAAGAGCGACAGAGAGCAUGCACACACCCGCAGGCUGAGACAAACACACAGAUACGUCCACACGCACACACACACACAGCUCAGUGUGCCACUUCCUCAUCUCCUGCUGCUCUGUCCUUAAACCUCUUCACCCUCCAUGCAGGGAGUAGACACUGUGCUCUUUUCUCUUUGUCAUGGUAAUAACACUAAGCCUAACUGUCCCCCAUUUUGCCUGUCAACUUGCAUUUAUUUUGUUUUCCUUUUUUCUUUUCUCUCUCCGGCAUGUACUGUCAGGUUUCUUGGGGUACGUUUAAGUCCCUCCCAGCAUCAUUCACUGCUCCUGGAACCAAUUAUAUUAUCCGGCUAGCCCUUUCAAUUCCUACAGAGGCAGGGACAGAAAGAAAUCUCGAUCUAUUCUCUAUGCCAGCAGCAUCACACCUUUACUAACCUAUUCUUAAGAUCCCACUCAAGAGAUUUUCAUUCCUCCCCUUUUGCUUUCUCAUUCCCCCUCCAGCUCUUCCCUCCGUUGUCUCUCAUUCUUGCCAUGAAGCCGCCUCUGACAGUGUGAAUAGGGGUCCUGUUGUUUGCGACACCCAACAUACUACUGUGUGACACAUUAUCUGCUGUAGUCUCCCUUUGCAGCAGAAUGCUUGCCUCAGAGCCUAACCGUAUUGUCUGAGCUUUCACCUCACCCCUGGCUAUCUGCUGUGCUCUGGCUUAAGGCUUAUCCUCGGGCUUCUGCAGAGCUGCUGGGCCAAUGAACACUAACAACUUUCCCUUUGUAUGCUGUGAGAACCUUUCUACAUCAGCUUUUGGCACAUUUACUACGACUAUCUACCUCUUCAAAUCAUAUUAUUUUAUCUCUGUAAUAGUGCUGCAACAGUACUUUGUUUUAAAUCCCUUUUUUUUCUUUACAGCACAAGCCUUUGGUAAAUAAUCGUGAUGUUCUAAACAAUGCAGCAUACAUUUGCUUCAAGAUCAUCUCGUUAUAUCACAUUUUUCACACCUUAUCUAGUGUUUUUGUUGCUGUGAAUCACUGCUUUUCUUUUUCUGAUUAUAUAAUGCUGUAAGACCAGCUGCAUUUGCUUUUUUUUCAAAUAAAUAUGAAUUAUAUAGAAAGUAUGUGGACGCAUUAAAAUUGCUCUCAUAUGUUCUGUAAUUGGUAAGCAUCUUAUUCCAAAGCUGUGUGCAUCGAUCUGCUGCUAUUAUCAGUCUCCACUCUGCUGGGAAGGCUCUCCACAAGACUUUUUGGAUGCAGGCUGCAGGGAUUUGCUUUCAUUCAGCCACAAAAGCAUUAGCGAGGUCAGGCACUGGUGUUGGACAAUAAGGCCUGGCUCGCAGUCAGGGUUUCAAUUCACCCCAGUGGUGCUGAAUGGAGUGGAGGUCAGGGCGCUCUGCAGGCCAGUCAAGUUUCUUCCACCACACGGACGCAGAAAGUCUUUUUUUUUUUUCUUUCAUGGACCUGACUUUGUGCACGAGAGAAACCAGCAUGUUGAAACAGUUACAGACCUUCUUGAAACUGAUAAAAGAUAAAAGAGAAAUCCCCCAUGACCCACCCAGCAUCUCUUGAACAUCUAAAGCCUUAGUAGUGUCAGCAGUCCAGUUAAGAAAUAAUACGAUGUGAGUUUAAAAGGCCGAUGGCAGCAGAACCAAAGUUUGAUUUAGCACUUUUAGUCAAUCCAGCUAUUUUUCGACCUACCUCUAACUACCCACCUUUUCUCUCUCCUUGUUAAAAUGUCAGUCAUGGCUGAUGUUUCGCAGCCCAGUGGGAGUUAACACAAGAUGUUACCACCUGAAUGACGCCAAGAUAUCCUUUUGAUUUCUUAAUGCCAGUGACACCACUUAAAGGUGAGAGCAAUCUACCCCCUAUAGCACUUGUGUUGCUUUUUCAAAGGCCUAUAGGUAGAAAUUACACGGUAAACUUAUUCUUUCAUCUUCUCUCUGGCUGCUAUUGCAAUCAGACAAGGCUUUGCCUGUGUAAUCAUUGCCUUUGAUAUGGAUGCAGUUCCAGUGAGAUUUGUGUAUUAUCAAUUCUUUUUAUGUUGUAUUUUUGAGCUUCCUGACAUUGGUUUACUCUGACUGCAAAGUGAUGCUAACUUCAGAAAUAUUUCAUAUGAAAGGGAAUUUUUUCCCCCCAAGUUUCUGACUCUCCUCUGACUCUGGUUGUGCAGAGAGGUGGGAUCCUGUGUCUUAGCCUGAUUGAUAUUCCGGUGCUACAGCCAAAGUUGUCCUCAGUUUCAGUGGAAAAGCGGCUCUAUGCAAUUAACCUAAUCGCAGUUUUAAAAGCGGCGGAGCUGUCAAAUACUCCUAUGCAGGAUAAUACACAGAUUGGCAAGAAAUGAGCUGUUCGGACAAGCGAAACAAUGUGUCAGGAAUGUCUGUACCUGAACAAAAACCCUCCAUUGUUGUUCUGUGACACCUGUGGCUACCUUGAACUGACAAGCUCUAAUUAAGCACUCAAAGAAAGGGUUAGAUGGGAAAUAUUAAUGCUAAUUUAUCUGCUUCAGUGUUUUUAAUCCAUGUAUUGUCUCAGAUAUUUUCUGUUAUUGUUACUGCGUCGGUAGCUGCCCUGAUAUUGCUUAUGUUCAUUGUAAGAAAACCUUCAAAUUGGUACAAAAAUACAAAACAAAAUUCAUAAACACAUGAAGCAGAAAAAAUAAGUCAACCGAGAGGAGGAAUAAACCUUUCCCAUGCUCUUUGGUAACCUUAAGAAAUUGCUUUGAGUGUAGAAGGCAUCUAACUUGCUUCAAUGACACUACAAGACAAAACAAAACAAGAGCAGACAGCCAAACACCCAGAAACCAUAUUUCAGGCCCUGGUGAUCCUGAGGUCAACAAAACGCAUGUCUUCUGGAGUUGCACUAAUUUAAAGUCUCAUAACAGACCAUAACAGACAUUGUGAGAUGGACUCUUCUAGACAACUGUGCUGCGAGAUUGAUACCAACCAAACCUGAGCUUUGCUGUUGUUGUCUGUCUCUAUUCAUCUCUACUCUUUCUUUGUUCUACAUCUCCCUCUGUCGCUCUCUCUCCAGCCUUGACACAGUCACGGCAGAUGGCUGUUCCAACAUGAGUCUGAUUCGGCUCGAAGAUGGGAUAAGACUGAGUCCUUAAAUAAGAUGGGAUUGGAUCUUAUCUUGAUGUUGGGUCUUUGUAAAUUAUACAAACAAAGAAUGAUCCGACUUGUUCCCUUUGUAAAGCAUGUAGAGAUUACAGUUGUAGUGAACUGACGCUGUAUAAACACGACUGACUGCUUUUGAUAAAACUACACACAUAUAAGUAAAUGAUUAACGGAUUGUACUAGUUAUUCCAACCAGUUAAAAUGCCUUUACAUUACAUGUCUCUUUCUGUAUUGUUUCAUCCCAUUUAAAUGGAAUCAUACUCAGCUCGGGAGCAAUUUGAGGUUUGAUGUCCCGCCCAAAGAUGCUUUGACUAGUUUGACCAACUCUACUUCUGAGCCACCACAACCCACAAAUAUCCGACUAUGACUUCCGAACUGUAUCAAUAAAAAACUAGAAAUGUGCUUCAAUCCAGCAUGCUGUCUUGGCUGAUCAAGGUCAUAGUCAAACUAAUCUUUGUUGGGAUAUUUUUUCUUCUUGGCUAUUUCUUUUGGACCCUUGAUAAAACUUUUAAGUAGGAUCACAGUUGUUUAAGUCAUGUUAUUCCUGACAGAAGUUAGAAUUAAGACAGUCAAUUUACAGACUUGGAUAUUUGCAGGCAUGGAUCGCAUGGUAAAUGAAAAGUGGACUCAGCCCCCAGUGGCGCCUCCCUUUGGUUUGUGAUGGAUUGGAUUUUUGGACUUAUCUAUUCCUUUGUUUGGCAGUCAAAUUUUCAAGGAGAGAAGACACUUAAAAAACAGUGAGACGAAUGUGCAGACCUUCACUUUUAUUCAAGUUGACAGAAUACCUGAAAGACUUGAAACUACUAAUCAAGUCCAUAGAGUCAUCUGGAAAUGUCAUAUCUGUAUUUUCUCAAAGCUUUCCAAUAGCAUUAGAAUCAAAGACCAUAUGGUUUCAAGAGAUGUUAUAGAGAGCAAAGAUAAAGAUCGCCACAAUGGAAACGCCAAAUCAACCGAUCUGUUGGUCAAUUUACAAACAAACAACAACAAGACAACUGAGGCAGGUGUGAAGCUUCCAGCGAAUAGCUGUAAUGCACUCACCUGUAAGUCAACUCAGUCUUGUUCAUACUCGUGCAGAUUUCUUCGCAUUUUCAGAACAGAUGAGUUAUAAUAGAUGAGCAUUGUCCCAUUGGCUUCAUUUUUCAACAUUAGAGUUUGCAGCUUGGUUAGAAUGGAUUUGUUGCCUGCUCACAAUAGGAAAGGAUUCAUGUUCAAAGCACUUAUCAUUACCUCCAUCUCUCUUUCAGAUCUUAGAGAGUACAUACCAUCGCUGACAUUAUAGUCUUUGUGUUCAUUACUAACUCUUCAUCAGCCUCUUAUCCUUGUAAAGCUUUAACUUGUCUAUGAUCGCAGAGGAAUUCUGAUACAUUGUUGAGACGGCAUUGUUUCAGCAAAUAAUGUAAAAGAUAACCUUCAAUGUAAAGAGCUAUUGUUUGAUAUCCUAAUGAGGAAUUUGUCUAAUCAUUUACCACUUAUGAUAAAGACAUGUAACUAACUUAAAACUAAACGUGCAUAGAAGUGUUAAUAUAAUUAGACAGCUAUACAAUUACGAAGGCUAUGAUCAUAAGCAGCAGAUGAGCUCGUGUUGUUUUCGCACAUCUGAACACCUGCAGCUCUUCCUCUCCAAAAAUAAACUAUGAGAUUAAAAUAUGUGAAAUGAAAAUGUUUAAUGGGCGAUGCAGUCGGCAGUUGUUGGUACUGAGAGUAUCAUUUGAAGCUUUGUUGCACACACACGAGGUGAUGAUUGAAUCUGCAGCCAUAUUCGGUCCAAAAGAGUAUCGAUCAGUAAGCAAAAAAAGGCUUGUGAUGUCAGGUGUUGUCAUGACAAGUUCAAAAGCAGCUGUAUUCUGACAGCGUGGUGCAAAACAGGCUCCCGGUGAGGCUUACAAGCCCUCUGCGCACACACAUAGCAAGCAGAUUCAGCAAGAGCUGCUCGCUGUUCGGGUCACCGACAGUUCAGGCUCCCAGAUUUCUGGUCCUGCAGCGUGGAGAGUCUGCACCGCUGUGAGAGGAGGAGCAGAUAGAGACUACAGAGCUCUGCAGGCACAAUCUUAUUUAUAUUCAGCGUAUAGAUUUACCCUGACUCAUCAUGGUGCAGGAAAAAGUAUUAAGAGAACUGCUGCAUAUCACUAGAAGAAAGAAAUCUGCUUAUGCUUGUUGUCUGUCAUGUCAAGAAACAGAAAGCAAAUCAAUCAUUUGCAAACGACAGUUGGCUGUGACACCGAAGACUCUUUGUUUGAAUACUGACUUCACACAUUGCUUACAUUUUUAUUAAUCCCCUUUUUUUUCAUAAGCACCCACACAAAAUGCCAAUCAUAUGUCAGCGUAGCCUCAUAUUUAUUAAAUUUAUACCUUUAAUAUCUACACAAAACAAAUGCAAGAUCACAACCUUCUAUCACAGCCACCUCAGAACAAUUUGAUUAUUCCAUUGAGUUUACAUAUCUUACCGUCUGCCUGCUGCCAUGUUCUCAUUGAGAUGAAACAAUGCAGCUGUAACAUAAUGUAGAGGGAUGUUUCAUCAGAUCUGGAAUAACAACUGUUAUUCUCAAUGCCACAAGCCACAGUAUAGAAAACUUACAGCUGCCUGUGUUUAGAGGUCUAUUAAUUCCAGCCCUGACUGCUGAAAGAUGAAGCAGCUCGCUAUAAACUAUCUCGACAAACUUGUGUGUUUUUCUGUCAAUGGAAAAAAAGACAGCCUUGCUGAGACUGUCUUUGUCUCUGUGAUUUUUCUUCUCUCUAUCAUCCCCUUGUGCUGCAUUUUCCAACUCUGUUAGAACCAUCACUUCACAGGAGGAAGGACAGAGAGCAUUUUAUAUUCCCUUACAGUUCACUUAGGACUGUUUCUCAGGAUUCCUCAAGGACUUUACAGGUAGCCUUUUUUCAAAGGGGUUAGUGCUUGCUCUGUACUUCCACUGACAUGAAAAAUUAAAGAAAUGGAUCCUGCAUGAAACUGCCGGGGACUUUCAUCGUGUUUAACCUCCUUUCUCUAUUCUUCGUUUGUCCCCAAAACAGUAAAUUAUCACUAAAGUAGCCGCUGAUAAAUCAAAAUCUCUAAACCCUGGCCACAUCCGCUUUAGUGGAGUUUAUGCAACACACCAGCUAUUAGUGAUAUGUUUGAUGAUUAGCCUUGAAGAUGUUUCCACUUCCUGCUUGUGAAGCCGGCACCUCUUGGGGGCAGUAGAGGCAUCAGCACGUCCUUUCAUCUCUUCCUGGCUGCUGGAAAAGGGCAAGGUCAGAUGGGAUUUGAGCUUGGCUCUCCACCACAUGUUUCUUUUGCCUGCCCAGUCUUGCUUUAGGCACAGAUUAGCUCCAUAUACCAGCUACUGUUACAGUCUACCUUUGUGGAUUGUGUGCCCACGUCAGAUCCUGAUUGGCGUGUCAGGAGACUCUCCUUCCCUACUUUGCCUUCCAUAUUUAUGCAACUUAAAGCCCCUUUUUUCACUUCGCUGAUAAAA